This is an RNA transcript of Carassius auratus (goldfish), 7861 nucleotides long. RefSeq lists it as uncharacterized. NCBI's taxonomy places the organism in Eukaryota, Metazoa, Chordata, Actinopteri, Cypriniformes, Cyprinidae. The transcript has 2 exons. The record is from RefSeq and is a predicted model, not a curated record.
AAAGGUCAUGGUCAAGUUACAUUUAUUUUAAUAUUAUAGUCGUUUAGUAUUCUGUUCAAGUGUUGCGCCUGUUGAGUGGGCGGAGUUUAAUCGGAAGUCUCGCGAGUUUGGUGAAAAUAGCGUGAGAUCAGAUAUACGGCAAUGGAGAAAAAGAAGGAAGAAAUGCGGUCCAUGUUAGUAUUGUAAAUUCAUGCGGCAAGUUGGAUUAAAGCCAUCAAGCUAUAGAUUGAUAAUAUAGCUCUCAGCUGGUGAGCAGUUUGGCAUUUCAGAUGUGAUGGGCGGCCGAUGUUGUGUGAUCGCUUCAGAAGUUGCUGGAAUUAUAUGGUGAAUAUCAGCGCGUGCGUCAUUGCAGAACGUAAGUGUUUAUAUCAUAUUAUUCAGUCUAAUAAUCAUCGUUUGAUAUGCUGCUAGAUGCAUCAAUAAGAUAUUUCUUCAGUUAUAAGAGAACAGCUGUUAUAUUAUGCUUUUAUCAUAUGUUUUCGAUGUCUCUCGCGUUUAAUCAUGUGAAGUGAUAAUGACACAGCACUUUGUUGUACAAAAUGUAACAGAGACUAAUUGAGUUUAUUUGUUUCAUUAUAGAACCACACGUUUAUCCACGUUUGUCCAGCGGACUUUAAUCACACAAACCCAACACACACACUGAAUAUCGCAGCACACGAAGCUACCGGCCUCACUGUUAUCACCACAUCAUAUUAACCCUAUCAGUAUCAAACAAAGAUCCCUACUUACAUACCGUUUGUUCAAGUUCCAAAUGUGAUGACAUCACGUCUAAGGAUCGACGUCUGAAGAUAUCUGUGCCUUCCUUUCAUUAAGUGGACAUUCUCUGGAAACCUGGGACUUGUUGGGACUGAGUAUUCUCAAUAACACAUUUCACUGCCUUAAAUCAACAUUAUUGUAUCUUUUUAUUUAAAGAACAUUGUUGUUUUAUUGUUUUGGUUAUUUUGCGUAGGCCUACGCUGUUUUAUUGUGUCAUUUACAUUGUGUUAACAUUGUGAGAAAAUAAUUCAUUUUUUCAUUAAUACAUUGAGUUAAUUGGACACAUGACUCUGGCUUCUUUAAUCCUUUCCUAGUUACUGGACAUUAUUUGUGUAAAUAGUACUCUAAGGUGAUUUAGAACCGUAACAGUAAUCAGUGCAUACUACAGCAUUCAAUACAUUAAAUGGUCCUUCGAGCCGGAUCUAUAACCACUUUAGCAAUGAUGUCCAGAACUAGUGAGGGAGUUAUAGAGCCAGAGGUUGUACGCCCACGUAGAGUAAUAAGACGGCCAACACAUUUGCGUGAUUAUGAGGUUAGCUAUCCACAGAAACAGCUUGCAUUUGCAGAUGAGCAGUCUGAUAUGCUCAGUUGUAUGCGUGAACUGAGAGAGGAAAAUAGACGAAUGAGGCAAGACAUGCAACGCUUAUCUGAUAUGAUUGUUAACUCUUCUGUGUUAGCUUCCCAGGUUUCAUUAUCUGAUCAACAGCUUUUGAAUGAAGGAGCAGUGGUGUCAUCUACACCAAAGUUUAUUAGUAUGCAGGAGUCAGUUAAGGGCGAUGGAAACUCUAGCCAGACAGAACAUACUCCUUUGGUGCCACCUAGAGAUGAAUCCCUCCUUACAGUUCGCAGUCGUGAGCAAGAGCUCAUUGAAGAGCUUACAGACAGUCUACAGAGAGCAGGUCGGCUUAGUGAUAGUCCGCCUAAUUCAGGUAUGUCGACCCCUUCGUAUAAUGAUCCACAUAGUAGUAAGAAUGACUUGCCACGGUAUGAUCACUAUUAUGAUGCUAAUGUUCCUCUGCGGCCACCUCAUUUAUCUGAUAUUCGUCAGCAAUAUCCAGAUGACCCACCAGUGUUGCGGUCCACUAUGCCUCCUCAUGAUGUUUAUUAUCAUCCAGCAACGGAUCCUUACCAUCGCCGCUUAAAUGAGCAUCUGCAGAAGGAUGUCUUCACAGAUCGUUUCGAUCAUUCUCCAAAUGAUUGGAGGCAAGAGUACAGUCGAAAUAAUAGACCGUUACGUACAUCAGAUCAUUCUCACCAUUCCCUUGGAAAUUCUGAGCUUCCUCGUCCUGUGCAUUCACCCCCAAUGCAAUAUCGAGGGCCGACUCCUACAAUUCCCGAUUUCGGUCGGGAUGAUCCCCGAGAGUUUUCCCGUCUUAAGCUUGCAUUAAACAAUGUUCUUCCUGAAGACGCUUCUGAGUCGUUUAAGUUCCAAAUACUUAUGGACCACCUUAAGCUGGAAGACGCUUUACUUGUCGCUGACUCAUAUAGUCACAGUCGUACUCCAUUCAGUGACACUAUGAGAGCGCUCACUGAUAUGUAUGGGCAGCCACAUCAAUUGGCACUGCAAAGGAUCACUAAUCUGAUGGAUGGGCCCAAUAUCAGGAGCGGGGAUGUGAAGACUUUUAAGGCAUUUGCCCUUCGUGUCCGAGCACUGGUUGGAAUGUUAAAUCAGUUAGGUAGCACAGGUUGGACUGAACUGAAAUGUGGCUCACAUGUUUCUCGUCUCUUAGCUAAAUUGCCGUAUGACCUAAGAGCUAACUUCAAGAGAUUCAUUAACCCCCUUCAGACACCUAUUCCAACUCUGAUUGAUUUCGCAGAAUGGCUGGAAUAUGAGGUUCGCGUGCAGGUAGAAGGAACACAGUAUGGGUCCUAUUUUGAGCAUGCAAAACACAGUGUUCACAAAGACAAGCGAACUGGUUUUGUUCCCCGAAAGCCAACUACUGUCCUACAUGGUAAAGAGCAGAAAGUAGGAUCAGUAGAGCUACCAAAGACUGAAUGCAUGGACUCAGAAAGACCACAGGAGAAGCUGAAAAAAUAUUGUCCGUUCUGUAACACAAUUCAACACUAUAUGAAUCAGUGCUCUAACUUCAAACUCUUAACUAAAGAGCAAAUUGAAAGUUGGAUCAGAACAGGACAUAGAUGUUGGCGUUGCGGACGAGGGCAUUCUUCCUCUAAAUGUACGUUAAAGGCGAAAUGCAAACGGUGUGAAAGGAGGCAUCUUGAUGUUCUUCAUGAAGUCAAUGCCAACGUUGAUGUGAUGAGUAAAAGUAAUAACCGGACAUCGGAGGAAAGUUCAGUAAGCCCUACUUCUCAGGCCUUAUACUUGGAUCGACCUACGAGUAGCAGGCAAGUGCUACUGAAGUUAAUUCGAGUAAUCAUUCAGAAUGGGGAUAAGUCAUUAGAAACCUACGCUGUGCUAGAUGACGGAUCUGAGCGAACUAUUUUGUUGAAUGAAGCUGCUCAACGUCUAGACCUUCAGGGUGAAAUUGAAGAUCUGGCUCUGCGAACAGUGAGGCAGGAUGUCCAUACCAUUCAUGGAAGAUCAGUAUCUUUCUUUAUAGCCCCUGUUUCACACCCUGACAGAUCUUACCCAGUCAAGGGUGCAUUCACCGCAAAAGAGCUAGCCCUGGUUCAGCAUACUUACCCCAUCUCUGACUUGCAAAGAAGAUAUCACCAUCUCCGUGACUUACCUUUGCACGACAUCCAUGAAGCGCAGCCCUUGGUACUUAUCGGCUCAGAUUAUCCUCACUUGAUAACCCCUGUUGAGCCAGUGAGAUUAGGUCCUCCUGGAGGUCCAGCGGCGGUUCAUACAAAGCUCGGCUGGACAUUGCAAGGUCCCUCAAGGCUUAUUAAACCUCACUUGCAGGCUCAAGAAUGUUUAUUCAUUUCUUGUGUUUCUCCUGAAGCUGAGCUAUUCUGUCAAGUCGAAAAGCUUUGGCAACUGGAUACUCUUCCUUAUCAAUCUGAGAAAGUGGUCAGUCGAUCACGACAGGAUGCAGAAGCUAUUCGCCUCCUAGAGGAGAAAACCAUCAGGAUUGAUGUGAAUGGGGUAAAAAGGUACGCCACGCCUCUACUCUGGAAAGAGUUGCCUCCGCCUCUGAAUGCACCCAAGGAGGCUGUCAUGGCCCUGCUACGCAGCACAGAGCGAAAGUUAUCUAGAGAUCCUAGUAUGGCUGCCUCUUAUGAAUCAGAAAUUCAGAAACUGCUGCAGGCAGGUUACGUCACACCGUUGACAGCUGCAGAAUGUGAUCGGAGUUCCCAGUCAUGGUACAUACCACAUCAUAUGGUUCAUCACAAUGCAAAGAACCGUAUUGUCUUCAAUUGUUCUUUUGAGUACCAGGGUCAGUCUUUGAAUGAACAUCUCUUGCCCGGUCCUACCUUAAGUGCCAGCUUGUUGGGAGUUCUCAUCCGCUUUCGAGAACAUUCUGUGGCCAUCUGUAGUGAUGUGAAGGGUAUGUUCCAUCAAAUCCGUCUCCUUGAUGAAGAUAAACCCUUCCUUCGCUUUCUGUGGCGUCAUGGGAAUACAUCUGAACCGGCCAUUGUGUAUCAGUGGCAAGUUCUGCCAUUUGGCACUACGUGUAGCCCUUGUUGUGCUACUUACGCACUUCAGUCCCAUGCCAAGGUGGAUCUCGAAGGUACUGAUGAAGUACGUCAAACGGUGGAGCGUAGCUUCUAUGUUGACAAUUGUCUUAAGAGUGUCUCUACUGAAGCCCAAGCUAUAGAGCUGGUAAACCGAUUGCAGGGCCAUCUUAUGAACGGUGGAUUCGAAUUGAGGCAAUGGGCCAGUAACAUCCCUGAAGUUAUUCACCACCUUCCUGCUGAGUUAAAGUCAAAGAGUGGGGAGAUUUGGCUAAGUCAAGAAAUGACCAACCCUCAGGAGAAUGCUCUUGGAUUGAUAUGGCAAUGUAGAUCAGACACAUUGGUAUACAAAUCGUACCAGAAAGAUGAAGGUGAAAUUACAAUGCGGAGCAUCUAUCGCACUUUAGCCAAGCUUUAUGACCCCCUUGGAUAUCUCAUUCCGUAUACCACCAGAGCCAAAAUUGUUGUGCAGUUGUUGUGGGAUAAAAAACGAGGAUGGGAUGAUCCUAAUUUACCAUUGGGCCUACUAGACAUUUGGCAUCAGUGGGAGAGCGAGCUGCCACAAUUGUCUCAGAUCCACCUACCAAGAUGCUACAGUUCCAGCCUUCAGUAUCCUGUCAAGAGCCGCAGUGUUCAUGUGUUUUGUGAUGCUUCUGAAAAGGCAUACGGCUCUGUAGCAUACUUGUGCUCUGAAGACAGUCAGGGUAAUAUGCAUGUUGCCUUCAUGGCAGCAAGGUCAAGAGUCGCUCCACGGAAACAAAUCUCCAUAGCUCGUUUAGAGCUUUGUGCUGCAUUGACAGGAGCACAACUAGGAGACGUCUUGAAGAAAGAGCUGACCUUAGAUAUCUCCAAAUUCAUCUAUUGGUCUGACUCCACUACAGUUCUUUCUUGGCUGCAGUCUGAUUCUUGCAGAUACCGAGUGUUUGUAGGAGUUAGAGUCACCGAAAUCCAAGAGUUGUCUGACCCUGGAGCUUGGCGCUAUGUCGAUUCAGCAGCCAAUCCUGCUGAUGAUAUCACGCGUGGGUUAUCACUGGUUCAACUAGCUAAAGAAACACGAUGGAAACAAGGACCAGCCUUCUUAAUGCAGUCUAGCAGUUGUUGGCCUAAGCCACCAGAAGGACAGGCCCCUGAAGAAGUUCAGGAACUUAAGAAAUCUGUGUUUUGCGGCUCAUUGACUGAACAUAAACUGCAAGUUGAACCUGAUCCCAAUAAAUUUAGUAGCUAUCCUGAUUUACUAGAGGCUACAGCACGAUUCCUUCAUGGGGCGGCUGAUAACACUGAUUCACUCAGUGCAGAUGCGUUUCAGAAGGCAGAAUUGUCUAUCCUUAGACAAUGUCAGAUGCAUGACUUUCCUGACGAAUUUGCUUUACUCAAGGGAGGAAAAGACAUUUCUGUACAUAGCCGACUCAUUAAGCUUGCUCCUGAAUAUGACAAAGAACAAGACUUGAUUAGAGUAGGAGGACGACUUCGUAGGUGCCAUGGAUUGAGUGAUGCAGUUCUACACCCUAUUGUUCUGUCACAAGAUCAUCCAGUAGUUAAACUUCUAAUAAAGCAUUAUGAUGAUCAACUGCACCACCCGGGAGCUGGCAGGGUGUAUGCUGAGCUGCGGCGUAAGUUUUGGAUUUUGCGAGGAAGAGAGGCAAUUAAAAGACAUCAGCACCACUGUCUUGAUUGUAAUAAAUGGAGAGGCAAACCAAAGAUUCCCAGAAUGUCAGACUUACCCACAUCAAGUCUGAGGUUAUGUAGACCCCCCUUUUACUCCACCGGAGUAGAUUGUUUUGGACCACUGUUAGUGAAGGUUGGCCGCCGUACUGAGAAAAGGUGGGGUGUCGUAUACAAGUGCCUCACUACUCGAGCUGUACAUCUUGAUCUGUUGGAUCACAUGGAUGGAGAUUCAUUCCUGCUGUCUCUCAGGCGUUUUAUUGCCCGAAGAGGGAAACCCUAUGAGAUUCUCUCUGAUCAGGGAACAAAUUUUCGAGGUGGAUGUAAAGAGCUGGAGGACACUUUCUCCCAUAUGCAGACCAGCAUUAGAGACCAGCUAGCAAAGGAACAAAUCAGAUUCAAGUUUAAUCCACCCAGUGCGCCUCAUUUCGGCGGCUCAUGGGAAAGAGAAGUGAGGUCUGUAAAGACAGCCUUAAGAAUCACCUUAGGUGCUCAGACCGUUACUGAGGAGGUAUUGAGAACCAUCUUGAUCGAGGUGGAGGGCAUUCUUAAUUCUAGACCCUUGGGUUAUGUCUCUAGCGACAUAGCAGAUCCAGACCCAGUAACGCCAAAUUCUUUACUGAUGGGGCGGCCUGACUCCUCCUUGCCCCAAGUUGUCUAUUCAGACCAUGAAUUACUCAGUAGAAAAAGAUGGAGACAUAGUCAGGUUCUGAGUGAUCAUUUUUGGAAGCAUUUUAUUCACGACUUCCUACCCACAUUGCAGUCAAGGCAGAAAUGGUACAGAGAGAAAGAGAAUAUUGCAGUUGGCACUGUAGUACUCAUUGUUGAUGAGCAGAUCCCAAGAGCGCUCUGGAGAGUUGGUACUGUCUCUGCUGUCAUUCCUAGUUCAGAUGGGAGAGUCAGAACAGCAGUGGUCAAAGUGAAAGAUCAAACGUACACAAGACCAGUAGCUAAGUUGAUUGAAUUGCCUUCCUUACCCCCAGACACAGAAAGUUCCUUAUAGACCCUACUAAUGGCAAAUUUGCAUACCAAAUUUGGGGGCGGCUGUGCAAAAGGUCAUGGUCAAGUUACAUUUAUUUUAAUAUUAUAGUCGUUUAGUAUUCUGUUCAAGUGUUGCGCCUGUUGAGUGGGCGGAGUUUAAUCGGAAGUCUCGCGAGUUUGGUGAAAAUAGCGUGAGAUCAGAUAUACGGCAAUGGAGAAAAAGAAGGAAGAAAUGCGGUCCAUGUUAGUAUUGUAAAUUCAUGCGGCAAGUUGGAUUAAAGCCAUCAAGCUAUAGAUUGAUAAUAUAGCUCUCAGCUGGUGAGCAGUUUGGCAUUUCAGAUGUGAUGGGCGGCCGAUGUUGUGUGAUCGCUUCAGAAGUUGCUGGAAUUAUAUGGUGAAUAUCAGCGCGUGCGUCAUUGCAGAACAACCACACGUUUAUCCACGUUUGUCCAGCGGACUUUAAUCACACAAACCCAACACACACACUGAAUAUCGCAGCACACGAAGCUACCGGCCUCACUGUUAUCACCACAUCAUAUUAACCCUAUCAGUAUCAAACAAAGAUCCCUACUAACAUACCGUUUGUUCAAGUUCCAAAUGUGAUGACAUCACGUCUGAGGAUCGACGUCUGAAGAUAUCUGUGCCUUCCUUUCAUUAAGUGGACAUUCUCUGGAAACCUGGGACUUGUUGGGACUGAGUAUUCUCAAUAACACAUUUCACUGCCUUAAAUCAACAUUAUUGUAUCUUUUUAUUUAAAGAACAUUGUUGUUUUAUUGUUUUGGUUAUUUUGCGUAGGCCUACGCUGUUUUAUUGUGUCAUUUACAUUGUGUUAACAUUGUGAGAAAAUAAUUCAUUUUUUCAUUAAUACAUUGAGUUAAUUGGA